Molecule: long non-coding RNA, 374 nt
Organism: Vidua macroura (Pin-tailed whydah)
Lineage: Eukaryota; Metazoa; Chordata; Aves; Passeriformes; Viduidae
Exons: 2
Source: RefSeq, a predicted model, not a curated record
GCCCUGCAGUGCAUCCCAGAGCCCCGUGGUCAGACACUCUGCCAUGCCUUUCCUUGCAGGGAUCAGCUGAGAGCAGCUGAAUAAAGCCCAGCCAUGCUUUCACCCCUGUGUGUACAGGACAGUGGGGGGAGAAAAGGGGACUAAAAAAAAGGCCAGUAACUCAGCAUGAAGAAGGGAUAGAGAUUGCAAGCUCUGAUGGAGGCUGGAGAACAGCUCUUCCCUGGAAAAGGCACCAUCUGCUUAAAGACUUCCUGCAACAUGAUUCUAAAACCACAGCACUUCUCCCAUGGCUUUCUGCUGCACAGCUGAUUUUCCACAAAGCUCCAGCUGACUGGGCUGCAGCCCAUCUAUGAAGGAAUUUCAGAUACAUCUUA